CCGAGUUUACAACUCCCAAACCCAAUGUGAACGUUACCAAACUGUUGCCUCGGCGGGGUCACGCCCCGGGUGCGUAAAAGCCCCGGAACCAUGGCGCCCGCCGGAGGAACCAACCAGGCUCUUUCUGUAGUCCCCUCGCGGACGUAUUUCUUACAGCUCUGAGCAAAAAUUCAAAAUGAAUCA
RNAcentral lists this unclassified non-coding RNA (183 nucleotides) under soil metagenome. RNAcentral's name for it is "partial internal transcribed spacer 1". The record is from RNAcentral.